UACGUAGGGGGCAAGCGUUGUCCGGAAUCAUUGGGCGUAAAGAGCGUGUAGGCGGCCCGGUAAGUCCGCUGUAAAAGUCAAAGGCUCAACCUUUGAAUGUCAGUGGAUACUGCCGGGCUAGAGUCCGGAAGAGGCGAGUGGAACUCCUGGUGUAGCGGUGGAAUGCGCAGAUAUCAGGAAGAACACCAACGGCGAAGGCAGCUCGCUGGGACGGAACUGACGCUAAGGCGCGAAAGCGUGGGGAGCGAACAGG
This 253-nucleotide ribosomal RNA is filed under the name uncultured bacterium. RNAcentral describes it as "partial 16S ribosomal RNA". It matches the Rfam family "Bacterial small subunit ribosomal RNA", at positions 524 to 776 of the family's 1533-position model. The record is from RNAcentral.